CGGGGUGUAGCGCAGCCUGGUAGCGCACUUGACUGGGGGUCAAGUGGUCGUCAGUUCAAAUCUGGCCACCCCGACCA
RNAcentral lists this transfer RNA (77 nucleotides) under Methylobacterium sp. Its description in RNAcentral is "tRNA-Pro". It matches the Rfam family "tRNA". Rfam says of the family: Transfer RNA (tRNA) molecules are approximately 80 nucleotides in length. Their secondary structure includes four short double-helical elements and three loops (D, anti-codon, and T loops). Lineage: Bacteria; Pseudomonadati; Pseudomonadota; Alphaproteobacteria; Hyphomicrobiales; Methylobacteriaceae. RNAcentral also lists the same sequence under 5 other names. The record is from RNAcentral.